This 495-nucleotide ribosomal RNA is filed under the name uncultured bacterium. RNAcentral describes it as "partial 16S ribosomal RNA". It matches the Rfam family "Bacterial small subunit ribosomal RNA", at positions 28 to 507 of the family's 1533-position model. The record is from RNAcentral.
GACGAACGCUGGCGGCGUGCCUAAUACAUGCAAGUAGAACGCUGAAGGAGGAGCUUGCUUCUCUGGAUGAGUUGCGAACGGGUGAGUAACGCGUAGGUAACCUGCCUGGUAGCGGGGGAUAACUAUUGGAAACGAUAGCUAAUACCGCAUAAGAGUAGAUGUCGCAUGACAUUUGCUUAAAAGGUGCAAUUGCAUCACUACCAGAUGGACCUGCGUUGUAUUAGCUAGUUGGUGAGGUAACGGCUCACCAAGGCAACGAUACAUAGCCGACCUGAGAGGGUGAUCGGCCACACUGGGACUGAGACACGGCCCAGACUCCUACGGGAGGCAGCAGUAGGGAAUCUUCGGCAAUGGACGGAAGUCUGACCGAGCAACGCCGCGUGAGUGAAGAAGGUUUUCGGAUCGUAAAGCUCUGUUGUAAGAGAGGAACGAGUGUGAGAGUGGAAAGUUCACACUGUGACGGUAGCUUACCAGAAAGGGACGGCUAACUACGUG